This 827-nucleotide small RNA is filed under the name Peromyscus polionotus subgriseus. Its description in RNAcentral is "partial inactive X-specific transcript". The record is from RNAcentral. Lineage: Eukaryota; Metazoa; Chordata; Mammalia; Rodentia; Cricetidae.
CUGAACUCCCUGCUCAUAGUAGUGGCCAAGUAAUUCGGUGCAUUUCACUAAAUCUACUCCUGGGUUUAACACCCUCCUUUAGGAUUAAUGAGGAGAGAAUUUGGGACUGAUUAGCAGGCUUCAUGGUUYUCGUGCCCCCUUCUCCCCCUUUAAGAGGGAACUUGACUUUCAAUGACUGAUACAACACAGGCGAAAAAAGGAACAUGCCCAUAGCACACUGGCAACCACGCACAGUUAACAGUGGGAAAUGUAGUUGAGUUUUUCUUGUAAGAACUCAGACUGAAAAUACCUGAGGCUUUGUGGGCUGUUGGUCUCAGUUGCAUAUYCUUUUAAAAAGAAAACAAACCUUUUCAGAAGGUAAGAAUCCCUCAUUGGCCUAUUGCAUGGACUAGCCCAAGCCCUGAUAUAAAUGCCAGAGAAUAUGUCUGAAUAACAGUCAUUUCCUUCUCUAUAUCUAUCUAUCUUUGUGCUAAAUACUAAGGAUGUGAUACUUAAUUGUGGUCACUUCCGGGUAACAGGAAGAUGUUACCGGGUAACAUGAAAAUAUAAAUACACUUUGUAAACCAUAAAGCACAUUAAAACUUCUUARUGUUGAAUGAAUGUGUAUUACUUAGUAAAUGCAUUCUACUGGUCUAUGUGCUAUGGAUACAAUAUGGAUACAAAGACUGCUGUAGGAAUAAARAGUAAAACAUGCUGUGUAAAAAAUAUAUAAACAUAAUAUGGCUUGAAUGAAAAAUAAUCCAUAUACUUAAGGCCAAUGUGUUUUUACUGCUUUGGUGAUUUUCAGUAAAAUACAUUAUACCAGGUAGCAGAAACGAAAACACAUG